CGGGCGAUUUAUUUGUUCUCCUGUGACGGACAACAUCGGGAAACUGAUGGGAAAACGUCUAAGUUGCAGUUAAUUGAUUGUGACGUAAACGAAUUUGUGCAGGAGAGUAAGAUGCCAUCCUAUCAGUUAGUAAGUAGGGUAAGGGCCUACUUAGACGAAGACGGGUACGGGGAAUGAGGGUUUGAUUCCGGAGAGGGAGCCUGAGAGAUGGCUACCAGGACCAAGGUCAGCAGCAGGCGCGAAAAUUAUCGAAGCCCGCCUAGGGGCGAUAGUGAGGAGACGUGUAUAACGAAGUACGUGUAAAGAACGUGCUAAUAACUGGAGGUCAAGUCUGGUGCCAGCAGCCGCG
Molecule: ribosomal RNA, 349 nt
Filed under: Dictyocoela duebenum (nom. nud.)
Lineage: Eukaryota; Fungi; Microsporidia
Description: SSU rRNA
Rfam family: Microsporidia small subunit ribosomal RNA
Source: RNAcentral